RNAcentral lists this ribosomal RNA (519 nucleotides) under uncultured Bacteroidota bacterium. RNAcentral describes it as "bacterial SSU rRNA". It matches the Rfam family "Bacterial small subunit ribosomal RNA", at positions 122 to 639 of the family's 1533-position model. The record is from RNAcentral. Lineage: Bacteria; Pseudomonadati; Bacteroidota.
CAACCUGCCUAUAACUAGGAAAUAACCUUGCGAAAGUAAGACUAAUACCCUAUGACUUCCUUUGAUGACAUCAAAUUAGGAAUAAAGAUUUAUCGGUUAUAGAUGGGGAUGCGUCUGAUUAGCUUGUUGGCGGGGUAACGGCCCACCAAGGCAACGAUCAGUAGGGGUUCUGAGAGGAAGGUCCCCCACAUUUGAACUGAGACACGGUCCAAACUCCUACGGGAGGCAGCAGUGAGGAAUAUUGGUCAAUGGGCGGAAGCCUGAACCAGCCAAGUAGCGUGCAGGAUGACGGCCCUAUGGGUUGUAAACUGCUUUUAUACAGGGAUAAAGUUAGCCACGUGUGGUUAUUUGCAGGUACUGUAUGAAUAAGGACCGGCUAAUUCCGUGCCAGCAGCCGCGGUAAUACGGAAGGUCCAGGCGUUAUCCGGAUUUAUUGGGUUUAAAGGGAGCGUAGGCCGUCUGUUAGGCGUGUUGUGAAAUGUAGAUGCUCAACAUCUGAAUUGCAGCGCGAACUGGCAG